Molecule: long non-coding RNA, 655 nt
Filed under: Rattus norvegicus (Norway rat)
Lineage: Eukaryota; Metazoa; Chordata; Mammalia; Rodentia; Muridae
Description: long non-coding RNA NONRATT023436
Source: RNAcentral
CCCAGUGGGAUCCCCAGCUGCUGGGAGGGGUGACAAGGGGGGAAGGAAGAACCUUACUGAGCCCUGGGCUCAAUCUUACUGGGGACCUCAAGGAGCGGAUGAAGUGCCCAGGGUGCAGCUGUGGAUAGCUGCCAGCGCGUCCCCAGAUGCUUGCUGCCUGCAGAGCUCAGCCACAGGCCUUCUAAUGUGCUGGGCUCUCGCCUAGACCAGUCUAAUGACUGCGUGUGAGGCCUCCUAAGGAGACUGCCAUUCCCACUUAUGAGGAGACCAUGUACUGUCCACUGGCUGAAGGUCCCCUGCAAUGCCCCGUGCAAGCUGAAGAAGAUCUCCAGUGCCAUGCUCCAGAGGAUGCCCGGCUGGGGUCAACAUCCUUCUCACCCCCACCCAGCUACGAGAGCAUCAUCCUUGCUCACGGGGCUGUUUCUGGAUCGAGUGCUGCGAGCUCCAGCCCAGGUUGAGCUCAGGCUGCGGGAGAGUUACAGAUCUCCAGCAGGCUGUGAAAAUGUUCCCUAACCAGAGAGCUUUGCUUGGGGCCUCCACCAAUACUGGUUCACAGCAGGAACUCAACAAGAGGUUUAUUGCUGGGUGCUGUCUAUGCAUCCGUUGCUGUGUGAGCACUAGUUGGCUUUAAAUAAACCCCACUUGAUUAUGUCUC